AAGUCUUAUGAUUGUACCCAUUAGACUAUAUUUACCAACUCAUUUAUUAACCUAGCUUACAAAAUGUGCAUCCCAAUCCAAAUGACGAUUACAAAUGGAAUAUUAACAUGACUCUCAUUCCUAUCUAGAACUUGAUGACCUCCGCUGCACGAACGCCUCCCAAGAACUGGACAACCUGGACAGCACGACCGUAUUAUUACAACCUGGACAGCACGACCAUCUACUACCAAGCCCCUGAAAACGGAAACAGAGGACAAUGUAAAUGGAGUGUAAAUAGAGUGAUGUGUUAAGAGUGAUGUGUUAAGCGUGAAUAAAAAAUGAAAAACAUUUCAUAUUGUAAU
Long non-coding RNA from Gadus morhua (Atlantic cod), 341 nucleotides. Lineage: Eukaryota; Metazoa; Chordata; Actinopteri; Gadiformes; Gadidae. The record is from Ensembl.